Cricetulus griseus (Chinese hamster) is the source of this 129-nucleotide non-coding RNA. Lineage: Eukaryota; Metazoa; Chordata; Mammalia; Rodentia; Cricetidae. The record is from Rfam.
GUUUACCACCAUACUACUCUGAAGGCACAUGAUUCUGUCGGAUCUCAGAAGCUAUUCAGGGUCAGGCCUUAUUAGUUAGUACUUGGAUGGGAGAAAGUCUGGGAAUACUUUCAAUUUUGGAGGUGCUCA